Small nucleolar RNA from Melanotaenia boesemani (Boeseman's rainbowfish), 181 nucleotides. RefSeq annotates it as small nucleolar RNA SNORA81. NCBI's taxonomy places the organism in Eukaryota, Metazoa, Chordata, Actinopteri, Atheriniformes, Melanotaeniidae. The record is from RefSeq and is a predicted model, not a curated record. The transcript has a single exon.
UCCUUCUGCCUAAACAGAAGUCUGCUAUAAUUGUGUGAUUCAGAUCUUUCUGUUUCAUGCAAUAAUGCUAGCAGAUUAUUGCGCAGAAGAAGAUUAAUGAGCACUGUGCUGAAAAUGAGACGUGUUCGAACCUCUUUCUUAAUGUUCGUUGGCCACUGCCUCAAGGUUCUGUGCUACAGAC